AGGGGUAUCGCCAAGCGGUAAGGCAUUAGACUUUGACUCUAACAUUCGUAGGUUCAAAUCCUGCUACCCCUGCCA
Molecule: transfer RNA, 75 nt
Filed under: Candidatus Limihabitans stercoravium
Lineage: Bacteria; Bacillati; Bacillota; Clostridia; Eubacteriales
Description: tRNA-Gln
Rfam family: tRNA
About the family: Transfer RNA (tRNA) molecules are approximately 80 nucleotides in length.
Source: RNAcentral